CAAAAGUUAAAACUGUUUUUUAACUUUUAACUAAAAAAACUAAGAAUCGAUUCUUAAAUAAGGACUUUAAGAACCGGUUCUUAGCUUUUUUAGUUAAAAAUUAAAAAACAGUUCUUAACUUCCG
RNAcentral lists this microRNA precursor (124 nucleotides) under Brassica napus (rape). RNAcentral's name for it is "MIR9563 microRNA precursor family". It matches the Rfam family "MIR9563 microRNA precursor family". RNAcentral also lists the same sequence under 1 other name. Lineage: Eukaryota; Viridiplantae; Streptophyta; Magnoliopsida; Brassicales; Brassicaceae. The record is from Rfam by way of RNAcentral.